Molecule: ribosomal RNA, 253 nt
Filed under: uncultured bacterium
Lineage: Bacteria
Description: partial 16S ribosomal RNA
Rfam family: Bacterial small subunit ribosomal RNA
Source: RNAcentral
UACAGAGGUCUCAAGCGUUGUUCGGAUUCAUUGGGCGUAAAGGGUGCGUAGGCGGCGCGGUAAGUCGGGUGUGAAAUCUCGGGGCUUAACUCCGAAACUGCAUUCGAUACUGCCGUGCUUGAGGACUGGAGAGGAGACCGGAAUUUACGGUGUAGCGGUGAAAUGCGUAGAUAUCGUAAGGAAGACCAGUGGCGAAGGCGGGUCUCUGGACAGUUCCUGACGCUGAGGCACGAAGGUCAGGGGAGCAAACGGG